GCGUCCGUAGCUCAGCUGGAUAGAGCACCUGGCUUCGAACCAGGGGGUCGUGGGUUCAAGUCCUGCCGGGCGCGCCA
This 77-nucleotide transfer RNA is filed under the name Bordetella sp. Its description in RNAcentral is "tRNA-Arg". It matches the Rfam family "tRNA". From Rfam's summary of the family: Transfer RNA (tRNA) molecules are approximately 80 nucleotides in length. Their secondary structure includes four short double-helical elements and three loops (D, anti-codon, and T loops). Further hydrogen bonds mediate the characteristic L-shaped molecular structure. tRNAs have two regions of fundamental functional importance: the anti-codon, which is responsible for specific mRNA codon recognition, and the 3' end, to which the tRNAs corresponding amino acid is attached (by aminoacyl-tRNA synthetases). tRNAs cope with the degeneracy of the genetic code in two manners: having more than one tRNA (with a specific anti-codon) for a particular amino acid; and 'wobble' base-pairing, i.e. permitting non-standard base-pairing at the 3rd anti-codon position. Lineage: Bacteria; Pseudomonadati; Pseudomonadota; Betaproteobacteria; Burkholderiales; Alcaligenaceae. RNAcentral also lists the same sequence under 3 other names. The record is from RNAcentral.